RNAcentral lists this ribosomal RNA (1493 nucleotides) under uncultured Bordetella sp. Its description in RNAcentral is "partial 16S-23S ribosomal RNA intergenic spacer". It matches the Rfam family "Bacterial small subunit ribosomal RNA". Lineage: Bacteria; Pseudomonadati; Pseudomonadota; Betaproteobacteria; Burkholderiales; Alcaligenaceae. The record is from RNAcentral.
GGUUCGAUUCUGGCUCAGAUUGAACGCUGGCGGGAUGUGCUUUACACAUGCAAGUCGAACGGCAGCGGACUUCGGUCUGGUGGCGAGUGGCGAACGGGUGAGUAAUGUAUCCGGAACGUGCCCUGAUAGCGGGGGAUAACUACGCGAAAGCGUAGCUAAUACCACGCUGCGCCCUUCGAGGGAAAGCGGGGGACCUUCGGGCCUCGCACUAUUAGAGCGGCCGAUAUCCGGAUGGCUAGUUGGUGGAGGUAGUAACGGCUCACCAAGGCGACGAUCCGUAGCUGGUUUGAGAGGACGACCAGCCACACUGGGACUGAGACACGGCCCAGACUCCUACGAGAGGCAGCAGUGGGAAUUUUGGACAGUAAACCUGAUCCAGCCAUCCCGCGUGUGCGAUGAAGGCCUUCCCAGGUUGUAAGCACUUUUGGCAGGAAAACGGCACGGGAUAAUGCCCCGUGCAACUGACAGUACCUGCAGAAUAAGCACCGGCUAACUACGUGCCAGCAGCCGCGGUAAUACGUAGGAAUUCCUGAAAGCGUUAAUCCAGAUUACUGGAGGCGUAAAGCGUGCGCAGGCGGUUCAGAAGAAAGAUGUGAAAUCCCAGAGCUUAACUUUGGAACUCAUUUUUAACUACCGAGCUAGAGUGUGUCAGAGGAGGUGAAUUCCGCGAUGUAGCAGUGAAAUGCGUAGAUAUGCGGAGAACACCGAUAGCGAAGGCAGCCUCCUGGGAUAACACUGACGCUCCUUUUGAAAGCGUGGGGAGCAAACAGGAUUAGAUACCCUGGUAGUCCACGCCCUAAACGAUGUCAACUAGCUGUUGGGGCCUUCGGGCCUUGGUAGCGCAGCUAACGCGUGAAGUUGACCACCUGGGAGAGUACGGUCACUUAAAGAUUAAAACUCAAAGGAAUUGACGGGGACCCGCACAAGCGGUGGAUGAUGUGGAUUAAUUCGAUGCAACGCGAAAAACCUUACCUACCCUUGACAUGUCUGGAAUCCCGAGAUUUGGGAUGCUCGCAAGAGAACCCGGAACACAGGUGCUGCAUGGCUGUCGUCAGCUCGUGUCGUGAGAUGUUGGGUUAAGUCCCGCAACAGGCGCAACCCUUGUCAUUAGUUGCUACGAAAGGGGCACUCUAAUGAGACUGCCGGUGACAAACCGGAGGAAGGUGGGGAUGACGUCAAGUCCUCAUGGCCCUUAUGGGUAGGGCUUCACACGUCAUACAAUGGUCGGGACAGAGGGUCGCCAACCCGCGAGGGGAGCCAAUCCCAGAAACCCGAUCGUAGUCCGGAUCGCAGUCUGCAACUCGACUGCGUGAAGUCAGAAUCGCUAGUAAUCGCGGAUCAGCAUGUCGCCCGGUGAAUACGUUCCCGGGUCUUGUACACACCGCCCGUCACACCAUGGGAGUGGGUUUUACCAGAAGUAGUUAGCCUAACCGUAAGGAGGGCGAUUACCACGGUAGGAUUCAUGACUGGGGUGGAGAGUCGUAACAAGGUAA